RNAcentral lists this ribosomal RNA (646 nucleotides) under uncultured archaeon. Its description in RNAcentral is "bacterial SSU rRNA". It matches the Rfam family "Bacterial small subunit ribosomal RNA", at positions 373 to 1012 of the family's 1533-position model. The record is from RNAcentral.
AGGGGGAACCUGAUCCAGCGAUGCCGCGUGUGUGAAGAAGGCCUUCGGGUUGUAAAGCACUUUUGUUCGGGAAGAAAUCUGUCGGGCUAAUACCCUNGGCGGGAUGACGGUACCGGAAGAAUAAGCACCGGCUAACUACGUGCCAGCAGCCGCGGUAAUACGUAGGGUGCGAGCGUUAAUCGGAAUUACUGGGCGUAAAGCGUGCGCAGGCGGUUUCAUAAGACAGAUGUGAAAUCCCCGGGCUUAACCUGGGAAUUGCAUUUGUGACUGUGAGACUAGAGUGUGUCAGAGGGAGGUGGAAUUCCGCGUGUAGCAGUGAAAUGCGUAGAGAUGCGGAGGAACACCGAUGGCGAAGGCAGCCUCCUGGGAUAACACUGACGCUCAUGCACGAAAGCGUGGGGAGCAAACAGGAUUAGAUACCCUGGUAGUCCACGCCCUAAACGAUGUCUACUGGUUGUCGGGGAUUCAUUUCCUUGGUAACGCAGCUAACGCGUGAAGUAGACCGCCUGGGGAGUACGGCCGCAAGGUUAAAACUCAAACGAAUUGACGGGGACCCGCACAAGCGGUGGAUGAUGUGGAUUAAUUCGAUGCAACGCGAAAAACCUUACCUACGCUUGACAUGCCAGGAACUUUCCAGAGAUGGAUG